This 665-nucleotide ribosomal RNA is filed under the name uncultured marine eukaryote. RNAcentral describes it as "SSU rRNA". It matches the Rfam family "Eukaryotic small subunit ribosomal RNA", at positions 619 to 1285 of the family's 1831-position model. The record is from RNAcentral.
UUAAAAAGCUCGUAGUUGGUACUCGGCGGACUGAGGGCGGUUUGCUUGCUAGUAUUACUGCCCUAUAGUCCGUAGUUUUGCCAGAGGUUUCGGGGUGCUCUUAAUCGAGUGUCCCGGGAUGCUGGCAGGUUUACUUUGAAAAAAUUAGAGUGCUCAAAGCAGGCAAUUACGCCUGAAUAUCCGUGCAUGGAAUAAUAGAAUAGGAAGUCGUUUCUAUUUUGUUGGUUUUCGGAAAUCGACUUAAUGAUUAAUAGGGACAGUCGGGGGCAUUUGUAUUCAAACGACAGAGGUGAAACUCUUGGACCGUUUGAAGACAAACUACUGCGAAAGCAUUUGCCAAGAAUGUUUUCAUUAAUCAAGAACGAAAGUUAAAGGUUCGAAGGCGAUUAGAUACCGCCCUAGUUUUAACCAUAAACGAUGCCAGCUAGCGAUCUGCGGACGUUUUUUUUGUAGACUCCGCAGGAAGCUUCCGGGAAACCAAAGCAUUUGGGUUCCAGGGGAAGUAUGGUUGCAAAGCUGAACCUUAAAGGAAUUGAUGGAAGGGCACCACCAGGAGUGGAGCCUGUGGCUUAAUUUGACUCAACACGGGAAAUCUCACCAGGCCCGGACACUGGAAGGAUUGACAGAUUGAUAGCUCUUUCUUGAUUCGGUGGGUGGUGGUGCAU